Callithrix jacchus (white-tufted-ear marmoset) is the source of this 5965-nucleotide non-coding RNA. NCBI's taxonomy places the organism in Eukaryota, Metazoa, Chordata, Mammalia, Primates, Cebidae. The record is from RefSeq and is a predicted model, not a curated record.
AUGGCAUAUGGUGGAAUUAUUAAGUCCUUAUAUCAGGUUCUAAAAGAAGGGACUGAUAGGGAACCACUUCUCGGGGAAAAGGAUCAGAAGCAAGCCUUUAGGAAACUGAAAGCUGCCUUCUCACAAGCGCCAGCCCUUGGGCUACCCAAGCUAACCAGACCGUUUCAGCUUUUUGUAAGGUGUAGCCCUGGAAGUUCUAACUCAAACCAUCAGGCCAUCGAAUGUCCUAUAGGUUACUUUUUAAAGAACCUCGACCCAGUAGUGCAAGGGUGGCCACACUGCCUAAAGGUAGUGGUUGCAGCAGCCCUUUUACUCAAGGAGGCCCUCAAAAUCACCAUGGGACAGUCAGUCUGGCUCCUGAUAUCCCACCAAAUAGGCCCCUUAUUGGAUAUUAAAAGACCUCAAUGGAUCACUGACAACAAACUGCUAAAAUACCAAGUCUUGUCAGAAAAUCCACGGCCUAUAGCGAACUCUCAGAGGAUAUUAGCCAACAAUUUUAAUGUCAUAGCUAAAACCUUAACAAACAUACCAAAACAAAUUAACUCUUUAGCAGCUGUAGUCCUUGAAAAUUGUCAAGGACUAGAUAUGUUAAUGGCAGCACAGGGAGGAAUUUGUUUAGCCUUAGAAGAAAAAUGUUGCUUUCAGGUAAAUCAGUCAGUAAAAAUGCAAAACAACAUCAGACAACUCCUAAAUCGGGCCUCCAGUUUACAAGAACAAGCCUUUCAGGGUUAGUUAGAUGGGGAAGGAAGAUGGAGAUGGUUUUCCUGGGUUCUUCCCUCUUUAGGCCCACUUGUUACCCUCCUACUUUUUCUCCUUUUAGACCAUGUGUUCUAAAUCUAGUAACCCAAUUUUUCUACUUUCUCUCACCUUUAGAUGAUCAAGCUCCAGAUGAUCCUCAGUGAGGGAUACCAUCCUCUCAAUAUUCAAGAGUCACCCUUCUACAGAGGACCCCUAGACUUCCCAUCAGUGGGACCAUGGCAGACGUGAAAUCCUGCCCCUGUCUCCCUUAGACCUGGCUGGAUACUGCUUUCAUCAAGCCAUGUAGCCGUUCUGCCCUGACAGCCAGCAAGAGGCCAAGACCCACGGAAGAAUCACCACCACACCUCUGUCAGCAGGAAGCAGUCACAGAAGACUGACUCCCAAAGAAUUGGGUCGUGGUCUCUCAUGGGGGGAAAUGUUAGAGUAGGUAAUUACGCAGACAUGAGCAAGGGAGGAGAGACCUCCUCCAACCAGGAAUGUCAGGUGACCAUCAGAUGACUUCUCAGUAAGAUCUCAGGAGUUGGGCAAGCAGACUCAAACAUGUGCACUAAGAGGCAAAAUGGUACAGUUUAACUGGUAUGUGGACUUCCUCGAGAAACACUUGACUCAUAAGGGUAAAAUGUCUCAAGUGAGCAUGCACAGCUUCAGUAAAAACAGACCAUGUAUGCAGCCCCUCACAAGUGCUGGCAGGCCACUGCACAUGCGGACAGCCUGCCCCAAGGGAAAAAAAUCACAAGAGGAGAGAUGCAAAACCCCAGAAGCAUGCCAACAUAUAAAACCCCAAGUCUAAGGCCAAAUAGGGCACUUGGAUUUCUCAAGUUGUCCACUUGGCCCUCUUACAAGUGUACUUUAUUUCCUUUCAUUCCUGCUCUAAAACUUUUAAACUUUCACUCCUGUUCAAAAACUUGCCUCAGUCUUUCACUCUGCCUUAUGCCCUUUGGAUGAAUUGUUUCCUUCAAGGAGGCAUCAAGCUGCUGUUAACCCACACAGAUUCGCUGCUGCUAACAGGAGUAUGGCUUGAGCCCAGAAGGUUGAGGCUGCAGUGAGUCACGAUCAUGCCACUGCUCUCCAGCCUGGCAACAGAAUGAGACUCUGUUAAAAAAAAAAAAAAAAAGACUUUUUACAAAAAGCAAAAUGAUAAUGGAACUAAAAAUGCACAUUGACUGAACUCCAACUACUUCUUCUCUCAAUUGAAACCACUUUUGCAAAAAUUGUAACAGUGAGAAAAUUAUGGCAGUAGGGGUGAUCUAAUCAAGCCAAAACCCAACUUGGCUUUAGCCUUCAAGCUGCCCUUAAUUAUUCCUAGGCUUAGGCCAAGCUAACUCUGGGGACACUUACUUUAUAGUUUAAAUGAUAGUAGUCCUUCCCCAAAACUCAACUACCUCUGCAAGGCUGAAGGCUGAUAAGAGGCCACCAGGCUAGGAGGAUAGAGAAGCCUGAAUUCUGCUUAGGUAUAGAUAUAAACAUUUUCCAGCCAUUAUUCUGAGGGAUCACAAAAUAUGCAACUUCUUCAAUUACUCCUGCAGAUAAGAUCUCUCUUUUAGAACGUAAGAUUGGGCUUUUGAGAUGCCUUUUCAGGUUUUUUGUUUGUCUGACUACUGAUGGCUCCACAUGGACCCACCAAUCACUCCUGCGGCCCCAUACAGAAGCAACUCAGCAUGCAUAAAGGCUAUUUCCCACACCACUAUGACUGCAGCCCCCAACCAAUCAGCAAGCGUUUAUUGCUUAGACAGCCCCAUUCCUUCCCUAAACCAUCCAUGAAAACCCUAGCUUCCAAAUUUCCAGGGAAGCAGAUUUGAGCAAUAAAAUACAUCUCCCAUUUAGCCAGCUCCAUGUGUGUAAAACUCUUUCUCUAUUGCAAUUCCCUUGCCUUGAUAAAUGAUAAAUCACCUCUAUCUGAGCAUCAGGCAAGAAGAACCCAUUGAGUCCUUACAGUAUCCUUCUUUCUACCCUUAUCUACCUAAUUACUCUGAAUGUACUAACGUUUUCACUCAGUUAUUUUUCCACUUUGAAUACAAAAAGAAAGUGAACAGGGGAAAUGCCUUAUGAAAUUAGUCCCUCAGAAUAAACCAGCUGGGCUUUCUUUAACCACCUUUAUGCCUUAUUCAAAAUCUAAGCUCAGAGACAAUAGUGAAAGGAUUUUUUAUCCCAAAGGAAAACUCUUAGAAAUUUGCUGAAGCUAUCCAUGCUGAGUCUAGGUAUCGAACAUGCUUUGCCCUAUUUAUUCAUGGGCACUACCCUGAGCUCAGUAGUUUUUUUAAAAAGCUGGGUUGGGAAGACACAGAUCUAGCUGAAUUCGUUGCCAAAAUAUGUUAUCUGGCAUAAAGAUUAUUUUGAGAGAGUUCUUUUUGAGACUCCUUCUAAGAGAAAUUUGUAUCUACAAAGGAGGUCUCCAAUUAUAAACUUGUUUCUCUCUCUGCAUCAGGAAAAGGAGGAGGACUAAAUAACCAGGCACUCUUAAUCAAUAGAGGAGUUUAAUCUGAGUAACAAACCUUACUUUUAUUGAAGGUGCUUUUUCAGGCUCUCUGCCAUUAAGAUCUGUAUUUUCCACCCUGCCUCCUCUAGGACCUGAGGAUUAUCACUUUGAUAUGAAAAAGCCAGGGAGAUUACUCAUCAGAAGAAUAAGAAAGAAAAGAGCUAUUUGGAAAUUGAACAAACAAAAAAAUCUUGUUUUUUUUCUUUUCUUCAGAAACAGCGAAAAGCUUUAGCCAUCUUGUAGAUAAUCCUAACUUGUUCCAUGUGCCAGAAACACAAUUUGCAUUCAGAAAUUCUUUUAUAAACUGUUGUUGUAUUAUUGUACCUGGCACAUGGCUACAAUUUUCAAAUCAAAACUGUGAAAUCUGCUUCUGUCUGUAUUUUAUGUAUGUCUACAUAUGCAUAUAAUGUGUAAUAUGUUUUUAUGUCCAGAGACUAUCCUAAAAUUAACUUGUAAAGAGCUACAGUUAAUGGUCUUAAAAAGCACUUAUACAAAUUAAGUAUUUUUUAAACUUUCAGAAACAUAGGACCUAACCCAAAUGUUCUUCAGGUGCAUAUUGGUAAAAGGAAAAACUUCAGCCAAAUUAAAUUUAAAGGAGUUUAAUUGACCAAUGAAUGAUUAACGAAUCAGGCAGCCCCCAGAAUCACAGCAGAUCCAGAGAGUCCCCAGGGAUGCCUGGGGGUCAGAACAAAUUUAGAGACAAAAAAAGAAAAGUGACAUACAGAAAUUAGAGUGAGGUACAGAAGCAGCUGGAUUGGUUACAGGUUGGUAUUUGCCUUAUUUGAACACAGUUUGAACACUCAACAGUGUCUGAGUGGUUGAACUAUGGCUGGUAGAAUUGACCAAGACUCAGCUAUUGUUACAGGCAUACACUCCUAAAUUAGGUUUUCAAUCUUGUCUACCUAUUAAGUUACUACAUUACAGUUUGUCCACAAGGACUCAAAUAUAGAAGUACAGAGUCCUUCUCAGGCCAUCUUCAGUUCUCUUUAACAAUAUGAUAUGGGAUUAAUGUUGAGUAAAUAAAAAUUGCUUUAAGUUUGUUGGAUUAACUAAAGCAGGCAUGUCUUUGGACUUGUCAACAUUAAAUAUAAUACAUGCAUACCUUUUUUUCUUCCAAGGUUUACUAGGCAAAUAAGUUUAUGUUAUUUAACUAGAUGUUUAAGAUUAUAAAACUAUGAGUUUUAUCUAAGAGCAAAAGUGAAAAUGCAGUAGCUAAUACUUUAUCAAGUACAGCAGUAAAGGAAAUAUAUAUUAAGUAUAGCAGUAAAGAAAAAAAAACAAGUAUUUCACUUUUUCUUUUUUUUUUUUUUUUUUGAGACGAAGUCUCACUCUGUCUCCCAGGCUGGAGUGCAGUGGCUAGAUCUUGGUUCGCUACAUCCUCCGUCUUCUGGUUCAAAUGAUUCUCCUGCCUCAGCCUUCUGAGUUGCUAGGAUUACAAGCAUGUGCCACCACCCCUGGCUAAUUUUUGUGUUUUUAGUAAAAUGAGAUUUUACCAUGUUAGUCAGGCUAGUCUCGAACUCCUGACUUCAUGAUCUGCCCACCUGGGCCUCUCCAAGUGCUGGGAUUACAGGCAUGAGCCACCGAGCCUGGCCUUAACUUUUUAUUGGUUCUUGCUUUUGUGAUGUUUGCCUAACAUACAUAUGCUAUAAACAUAGUAAGUAGGAAAAUAUUAAUAACUUGAGAUGUUGACUAGCUUUGUCUAAUGUUUAAAGAAAUGUUCACAAAUAAUUCAAUUGUAGUUAAGAACAAUUGAAUUAAUGUAAGUAGAAUAGAAAUUAUAAAUGAAAUUUUCAAUAAUAAUUUUUUUCAAUGAACUUUUCAAUAGUAAUUAUAUUUUAAAUUUUGCCUCCAUUUCUUUUGUUAAGAAGUUGACACUAUUUAUAGUAUGGCUGCCAGAAUUAACCAAGACUCAGCGAUUGUUACAGGCACAUACUCCUAAAUUACAGGCACAUACUUCUAAAUAGUGUUAACUUCUUAACAAAAGAAAUGGAGGCAAAAUUAAUAUAAAUGAGAAUUUAUUUGGGCCAAAUUUGAGAACUGCAAUGCGGGAGACACACUUUCAAGUUGCUGUGAAUAUAAACAAUUAGCAGCAGUUACAAGUGGGUUUAAAAAAGCAGGGGGGCAGUUCUUUAGUUACAUAUAAACUAUUAAUUGGCUAUACAUUGCAGUUUUUUUCUUUUUUUUUUUUUUUUGUAAUCAUAAGUUACAGGACCCUGAAGAUAAUGGGUAAAGGUCACAUCCCCUGGGCAUAGAUUUGGGGUGGAGUGUGACAAAAAAAUCUCAUACUCAUGUCUCUCUGAGCCUGAUAAAUUUUGCAUACUCCACAUAGUUUAGUCUGUUCUGAGCUAUUUUUCUUUUCUUCCUUUUGGCUGAGUUUUUUCUUCUUCUGAAAGUAUUGAUGAUCAACAUUUUAGAUGUAAGUUUGUUCCAUAUCACUGGGAAGACUUAAUUUCAGUUAGUCUCCUCCCACAUUGGAGGACAAGAGGAGAGAUAAAAUGGCUUAAGAAUGCAAUGAAGUCUCAAGGCCAUGAUUGGCAACACAAAAGGACAGGGCAAUGGUAUUUUAGGCCAUCUGCUUACAAAGGAGCCAUGGCAUGUUAGAUCAUUUCUAAGCAUCUAGGUGUCAUUAUUUUAGUUUUUUUAUUGUUGAUUUUAGACAUCUGGAAAUGCAAAGUAAAAUCAAUUUGAGAAUAAAAGACAUGAUGUAAAUAAAGACAAUUACUAACAAAA